AGCAUCGGAAAAGAUGAAGGAUGAGUUUAUGGAGUGCUUAUGUGAGUUAUGUUCAUGAGCUUAUGGAUAUUGUGUGUUGUUUGUUGAUGUAAUUUUUUAUGAACAUGGAUGAAAUAAAUUCAAAAUGGAGGUGAUUAUUUGUAAGAAAUUGGAAAUGUUAUAUUUGGAGGUGGAGGAAUGGUUUGGAAAAGAUGAUGAUGGUGACCAUGUUCUUCAUGUUGUUGUU
Molecule: long non-coding RNA, 226 nt
Filed under: Lathyrus oleraceus (garden pea)
Lineage: Eukaryota; Viridiplantae; Streptophyta; Magnoliopsida; Fabales; Fabaceae
Description: Pisum sativum (pea) long non-coding RNA (PSAT_LNC034410)
Source: RNAcentral